UCGCCUUGCAGCCACAUGUUACAUUUGGCUUUAAAUGUCAAUUUUACAUUGUUGUAAACAGCUUGCUUUGCCAUCCUACACCGAUGAUCCCUCGAUUGGAAAUAUACAUACUCUGCAUAUUUACCUCGAACAAACUUCAACUAUAUGCAAUGAAAAUAUUUCUAGAAUGCCAUUUGACGUUUCAAUCGUGACACUGGACAACGAAUGUCCACAUUAGAAAUGAAU
Molecule: long non-coding RNA, 225 nt
Filed under: Mytilus galloprovincialis (Mediterranean mussel)
Lineage: Eukaryota; Metazoa; Mollusca; Bivalvia; Mytilida; Mytilidae
Source: RNAcentral